This 27-nucleotide non-coding RNA is filed under the name Rattus norvegicus (Norway rat). Lineage: Eukaryota; Metazoa; Chordata; Mammalia; Rodentia; Muridae. The record is from RNAcentral.
UGAGUGGUGCUGUCUACCAGCUGGACC